Erigeron canadensis is the source of this 703-nucleotide long non-coding RNA. RefSeq lists it as uncharacterized. The record is from RefSeq and is a predicted model, not a curated record. The transcript has 4 exons. Lineage: Eukaryota; Viridiplantae; Streptophyta; Magnoliopsida; Asterales; Asteraceae.
UAAUACUCUCAUCAUCUCAAUUGUUGUUAGAUUAUUAUUAGAGGUGUAUAUAUAUAUAAUUUUUUUAAUACUAGUACAGUAUUACUAAUAACAAGAAUAAUAAUUGUGGCGGCAUCAUCUCCAUUGCUGCUGCUGUUGUUGUUGUUAGAUUAGAGGAAGAGGAGCAAGGAGGAAGGAAUGUCUGGUAUUCCAUGGGGUGGCUCAAUCAAGGAUUCCGAAAGAUAUGGCUUUGAAUCGGUUUUCAUCUCUCUCUAGACUAGACGUGAUCGACUCGUGUGCCUGGCAGCGGCUUGCUCCUCAAUCUAUAGAGCGGGUGUACGUAAUCAUCCCUUUGAAGUUCCAUCAUUCCCAACUUCCAUUCUCGAGGACGACGCAAUGAAAAAAAUGCUUGCCAGACGUGAACGUUAUCUGACAAAGAUGCACAAGGCGAUGUUGUUUCAGCCGAAAUCCAUAAGUCUGAUGAUCAAGGAGCUUGUUCAGAAACAAUGUUCCAUCAAUCUGAUGACCAAAAAAGAAAAGAAUUGCUUGAAAAGAAGGCAACGAAGAAACGAUUUCCAGACUUUGUUUGGUAAUCGGGGGAUAUAUUUGAACUGUCUUAUGCUUUUGUGUGUUUAGAAUGGAAGAUUGUUAAUUUUUAUUUUGGUGGAGAAUCAUUGUCAUAUACAUUUUUAAUCUAAUUUGCUUCAUUUGCUCUUUUUAUUUA